Molecule: ribosomal RNA, 398 nt
Filed under: uncultured bacterium
Lineage: Bacteria
Description: bacterial SSU rRNA
Rfam family: Bacterial small subunit ribosomal RNA
Source: RNAcentral
AUUGAACGCUGGCGGCAGGCCUAACACAUGCAAGUCGAGCGGUAGAGAGGUGCUUGCAUCUCUUGAGAGCGGCGGACGGGUGAGUAAUGCCUAGGAAUCUGCCUAGUGGUGGGGGAUAACGUUCGGAAACGGACGCUAAUACCGCAUACGUCCUACGGGAGAAAGCGGGGGAUCGCAAGACCUCGCGCGAUUGGAGCGGCCGAUAUCAGAUUAGGUAGUUGGUGAGGUAAAGGCUCACCAAGCCGACGAUCUGUAGCUGGUCUGAGAGGACGACCAGCCACACUGGGACUGAGACACGGCCCAGACUCCUACGGGAGGCAGCAGUGGGGAAUUUUGGACAAUGGGCGCAAGCCUGAUCCAGCAAUGCCGCGUGCAGGAUGAAGGCCUUCGGUUGUAAC